This 1355-nucleotide long non-coding RNA is filed under the name Homo sapiens (human). RNAcentral describes it as "HSALNT0121796". The record is from RNAcentral. Lineage: Eukaryota; Metazoa; Chordata; Mammalia; Primates; Hominidae.
UUAAUAAAACUCAUUACUCUGGGAAUGUUCCGAGGCAGCCCGACCCUUGCCUGCCUAAGAAAAUCAGCCUCUGCUCCUCAUUCUAAGCCCUUAUCCAACGUCCCCACCUGCAAGACCAGUUCCUGAGGGUCGGCAUGAAGAAGAGGAAAAGCACGUGGAGGAUAGAGUAAAAUACGUAGACUAAGAGAGAAAGUAGGAUGCGGUGAUGGAAGUGAGAGCCGCUUGGAAAAAACUGGGAGAGAGGAGGAGGAGGUGGCGCUUGGAGCAGCAAAGACUCUGCGGUGUGUGCGCGUGCGCGCGAGAAAGAAUGGGGAAAGUAAUAGAUACUCGAAAGGCUGACUGGGUUGAUGAAUGGAAUUCCCCUCCGUAAUUUUUGGAGUCAUAAUUUUUGCCCCUUGGACUGUGCUUCUUGAAGUGCAGCGUGCCUGGAGCCCGGGCCGUGGGGCCACUCGGCUACGGAUGCUAUGUGAUCUAACCAGGACCCAGGAAGGGGCCCUCUGGCUGCAGUGAGAGAGGGGUACACGGGGCGACACGCAGUGUUCUCAGGAGGGCGGCACAGCUGCUGCAGAGCUAUCUCCAACUUUGCCACCUGAGAAACACAAGUCCAAGUCCAAUACUUACAGAAGAAAUAACUAUUCCACCUAGUCAAGGAACUAGCCAACACUUAAUGGAGGAUUGCCCUUGGUUAUAGAGCUAACUGCAAAUGAAGUAACUAGAGGAAGACCAUUUACCUUCUCCAUUGAAGAGACCAUUCAAGAGCCAACUCAGCAAUCAGGGUCUAGCAGUGUUACUGACUGGAUGACUGGCACUUAGAGUCCAGCACCCUGCUGAGAAACCAGCAACCCAUGUGAGGAUUCCAUGGCCAACUGAGAUCACAAGACUCUUGAACAGAAGAAAUGCCAAGAGAGCUAGAAUCUUACAGAUGGUGGUAUUAAUAAUGGAGCAAACUAGAACCAAUGACAAAGACAUGAAGUCUGAAAAUAGCACAGAGAAUAUAAAUAUUGUGAGAUGAAUGUUCCCCCUUCAAUUCUCCUUAUUUGCCAAAUAUUUUCAUUUCCUUUUGUCAUUAUAGAAAAUAAAACCAUGCAUCACAGUCAAAAGUGCUCCACUAGCAACAUUGUAUGAUUCACUCUUUUUGUCAUACAUGUCUUUAGUAAUUGAUGGAUAUUAAAAUCACACAGACUAUUUAAUAAGGGCUUAUUUUACUUGCAUCGCCACUUUGAUUCAAAAAAAGAUUUAAGGUAGUUAAUAAGGUUAGAAGGAAAGAGAGUUAACAAAGACAAGAACUUUAACUAGAGUCAAAACUAAAGUCAAUAUUUAAGAAAUAAACACCACAUAGUCUCCCACGCUUUCUC